Molecule: ribosomal RNA, 466 nt
Filed under: uncultured bacterium
Lineage: Bacteria
Description: bacterial SSU rRNA
Rfam family: Bacterial small subunit ribosomal RNA
Source: RNAcentral
UUGCCAGACUCCUACGGGAGGCAGCAGUGAGGAAUAUUGGUCAAUGGCCGAGAGGCUGAACCAGCCAAGUCGCGUGAGGGAUGACGGCCCUACGGGUUGUAAACCUCUUUUGUCGGGGAGCAAAGAGAGUCACGUGUGGCUCAUUGAGAGUACCCGAAGAAAAAGCAUCGGCUAACUCCGUGCCAGCAGCCGCGGUAAUACGGAGGAUGCGAGCGUUAUCCGGAUUUAUUGGGUUUAAAGGGUGCGUAGGCGGGACGGUAAGUCAGCGGUAAAAAUGCGGAGCUCAACCCCGUACUGCCGUUGAAACUGCAUCCCUUGAGUGCGCGAGAAGUAUGCGGAAUGCGUGGUGUAGCGGUGAAAUGCAUAGAUAUCACGCAGAACUCCGAUUGCGAAGGCAGCAUACCGGCGCGCAACUGACGCUCAUGCACGAAAGCGUGGGUAUCGAACAGGAUUAGAUACCCCAGUA